GUACUGCUGAAGAGUCCCAAACUAGGACGAAACGGCCGUCCAGUAC
This 46-nucleotide non-coding RNA is filed under the name Trichobilharzia regenti. The record is from RNAcentral. Lineage: Eukaryota; Metazoa; Platyhelminthes; Trematoda; Strigeidida; Schistosomatidae.